Molecule: long non-coding RNA, 135 nt
Organism: Solanum tuberosum (potato)
Lineage: Eukaryota; Viridiplantae; Streptophyta; Magnoliopsida; Solanales; Solanaceae
Exons: 3
Source: RefSeq, a predicted model, not a curated record
ACAUAUUUUGCUUAAUUGUCCAGAGAUUCAAUCAUAUGUCAACUUGUUCGUAAACACAUGGGGUAAUGAAGCCAUCUAUACAGAAUUUUCCAAAUGGCUGAGGAACUAUGUUUACGAUGAAUACUCAAGUGUCCA